RNAcentral lists this ribosomal RNA (403 nucleotides) under bacterium. Its description in RNAcentral is "partial 16S ribosomal RNA". It matches the Rfam family "Bacterial small subunit ribosomal RNA", at positions 355 to 776 of the family's 1533-position model. The record is from RNAcentral.
UGGGGAAUAUUGCACAAUGGGGGAAACCCUGAUGCAGCGACGCCGCGUGAACGAAGAAGGUAUUCGUAUCGUAAAGUUCUGUCCUAUGGGAAGAUAAUGACAGUACCAUAGAAGAAAGCUCCGGCUAAAAACGGGCCAGCAGCCGCGGUAAUACGUAUGGAGCGAGCGUUGUCCGGAAUUAUUGGGCGUAAAGGGUACGCAGGCGGUUUAAUAAGUCGAAUGUUAAAGAUCGGGGCUCAACCCCGUAAAGCAUUGGAAACUGAUAAACUUGAGUAGUGGAGAGGAAAGUGGAAUUCCUAGUGUAGUGGUGAAAUACGUAGAUAUUAGGAGGAAUACCAGUAGCGAAGGCGGCUUUCUGGACACAAACUGACGCUGAGGUACGAAAGCGUGGGGAGCAAACAGG